UCUUAGAAAACUAAAAUAUGGAGUCUAUCUGGUUAGAAUUAACGGCGGACUAGAAAGUAAACUUAAAACAAGAAAGAUCGAAGACCGCAGAUUGAGUCUGUGAUCAUAUGUUUAUUGGACUAAUACGUUCGUGCACUUUGUUCACUGGGGUCGCAUGAUUUAAACGAUGUCCAGCUAUGGUCAGUUGGAUGGCCUGCACAUCUCGGAUACAAACAACAUAAAAAGAUGUUGGUGGAAGAUGGCAAGUCUGGAGAAAAGAUCUGCUUCUUCGAUUUGAGAAACUGACAUUUAAAACCUGUUUACAGCUGAUGCUUAAAGCUGUCAUUGAGGGUGAUGAAGCAGUAGAGACACUCGCCCUUCACCUUGUGAGGCCGGCUCACCACUGCAGCCUCCACCACA
This is a long non-coding RNA of Monopterus albus (swamp eel), 399 nucleotides long. RefSeq lists it as uncharacterized. The record is from RefSeq and is a predicted model, not a curated record. NCBI's taxonomy places the organism in Eukaryota, Metazoa, Chordata, Actinopteri, Synbranchiformes, Synbranchidae. The transcript is spliced from 3 exons.